UGUAUGAAAAUCAUUAGUGGUUUGAUGUUGAGUGCUAUUUGCUCUUUUCAAGUCUGUAAUGUAUUUAAAAAGCCUUGUGUGUAGUACAGGCAUGCACUUUGCUCCCUGUUAACCAGUAGGGGGAAGUCUUGCUUUUUUAUUUCAGUGUUUUUUUGGUUUUUUUCCGUCUCAUUCAGUGACGUUUGACAAGUAGGCAACCAGUCACUGCUGAUCUCCAUUCAUGAAGAGCUUUUCUCUUUGUGAAUGGCAGUGUUAAAUGAAUUGAAUCUUAAACGGUCAAUGCUUUUCUUCUAUUCUCUUCUACUGUUUCUCUCUUUCUCUCUGCCUCCUUACAUGACUUGAAAUUAAAGAUACUGUUUUUAAGUCGUCAUUAUUGAUGUGGAUCAGACGUGUAUUUUUGGCCAUGAGAUGUGUGAAUGGCAUCUAUCAUCAUUAAAAAUAAAUAUAUGGUUUUACACUUAACAUUUGGCCCCAUGUUUGAGUACUUGCAACUUUUCAGGGAAGAGAACUUUAAUAUGUGCAUUCAAACAUGUCUCCUUUUAUACUAUAGCACCGCACAUUUCUUCCCCCACCUUGUGCAGUGGCCGUGAUAGGGGCCCGUUUGAUCUCUCGCUGUCCAAUCAUGCAUGAUUUUGCUGUGGCUUGUCUGCUCUUGUAACCUUGGGUCUCAUCCAUGACACAGGAAGUUACUCUUUUGUGUUCAGUUUUCCAUGCAGCUUUGAAUCCCAGUGGCUGUGCACAUUCAUUUGCUUGUAAAUAAGAUACUGCUAUUAAACGUCUCUCGUGUUCAAUGUUCAA
Long non-coding RNA from Carassius carassius (crucian carp), 798 nucleotides. RefSeq lists it as uncharacterized. The record is from RefSeq and is a predicted model, not a curated record. The transcript is spliced from 2 exons. NCBI's taxonomy places the organism in Eukaryota, Metazoa, Chordata, Actinopteri, Cypriniformes, Cyprinidae.